AUGGUUGAAGAUGCCAAAAUUGCUAGGGUGAAUGACAAUCUUGAAAGUUCUUUCACUAUCCACCAUCUGACAGAAGAGAAGAACAAGCUGGAUGCCAACUAUGACAAGCUAGUCCAAGAUGCGCAUGAGCUGAUGAAUUUCCAGGAAGAUAAGGUGGUGGAUUUCAGACAUCUGCAGUCUGCCAUUACAUAUCAGCAGGAGGUAAGAAAAGAACUGAUUGAUGAUAUGAAGGCACAGAUGGCAAGUGAGAUGGCAAAGAAAGAUGAAGAGACCCAGAAACUUACUCUGAAGUAUGAGCUGCUGCUCAACCUGACAAGAGCUCAAGCAACAGUCAUUCAGAACUUGAAGUUGAACAAAAUGAAAGAGAAGCAAGUGCUUACUGAAGCUAGUAUGAAUUUGGAGCUGAAGAAUGCAGAGAUAACAAAGUGUCAGGAGAAGCUCACCCAAGAGAAGCUAGAGUUGAAGUUUCAGGUUGCUGAUCUGCUUAAGGGAAAUGAAAAGCAUAUUGAAGAGAAGUGGCAGUUAGAGUUUCAGAAUGAAAAGUUGAAGGAGAAGUUCAGGGGGAUUCAGGCUAUCUUGGAGAAGUGA
RNAcentral lists this ribosomal RNA (588 nucleotides) under Triticum aestivum (bread wheat). RNAcentral's name for it is "partial small subunit ribosomal RNA". Lineage: Eukaryota; Viridiplantae; Streptophyta; Magnoliopsida; Poales; Poaceae. The record is from RNAcentral.